AAGGUAGCAAGUCUCUGCAACUCUCGAAAAGCCAGUGACCACUCUCUGAUGAGCUGCCAACUUGGCGGGGGUACCGCAGCGCCAGAGCCAAGAUGCAAGCCUGGAGCUGCAAACCAGCCUCUCUGGUAGGGCUGCACUCCACAUUCCCCCGGCAGCUGUGAACUUGGCUCUUGCCACUAGCUAUAUGCAUGUGUUCCUCGUCUCCUCCCUCUUUGGCUUCACAAGGCAGGAGGUUGUAACAGUGCCCAGCAAUUACUGAGUUGGCAUGCGCUGCAUUGUUUACUCACAGUCAUAUUCCUACUGGACUUUAUUAAAACACCAUCUGUUGUCAGUUCAGAAAUGAAAAGAAAGGGGAGGGGGGGGUGUAUGGAAAAGGAGCAACAACAACAAAAGAAAACAGUCAAAUCUGCAUGGCAGGAGAACGGCUUGUCUCAGAGAUGCGUACCUGGAGCACUCGUCACGGCAGCUUGGAAGGAAGCGGCGCUAACGCAGACUCGCUGCACAGCUCGUAAUUCUGUCAGCAGUCCCAACAGAAACGGUAUUUUUUGAGUCAUGAUACUUUUCCUGGCAUCAUUUAAGCUUGAGUCUGAGACUCAACUGCCUGCUCUGAGAAUGUUUUUUUUUUUUCUCUUCUGGGAGAAGUAUCAACACGCACCAGUGACCACACACCUAGAAAGAGUCGUACAGUAUUGCUUCAGCAGGUUUACAGUACAAACCCUGGAGAUGAAAGGUGAAGUGAAACUGCAGGCUGUCAAUAGGAACAGUGUUUAAGCUGGAUGGAUGAAAUAAAAGGCAUUAUGCUGGAGAGGAUGGAGGGGUCCCAAGAGGUCCAACUAGUCACAGUGCUGGAUGACAGGUUGAGCCCUACGGACAAUUAACCAACUGUGACCAUAACCUUCAAGAGCAGCAACUAUUGGCUGAGUACCAUCAAGGUGGGAGGGUAUAGAUUAGCUAGGGCCAAUAAGCAGCGAAAUCCUGUGCCUUGCUGGGAAGCAGCUUUGACAGACAGAGUUACAUUGCUCCUUGAUCUUAACUAUACUUAGGAUACAGCGGUCUCCCAAUUUGAAUGAGAGAUAUAUACAGACCAUGACUUUUAGAGGAAACCACACAUGGCACUCACACUGGUGAGAAUAGUCAUUAGUGGGCAGUUAAAAUUUUGUAAGAGCUACUUAUUUCAUUACCAUAUUUGCUUGAUGCACAUUAUAAUAAUUAUGGUACAGGAUAACAGAAUGUGAUUAUCUGAGAAUCCAAUUUGCAACUGUUUUUCAAUAUCUCAUAAAUAUUUUAAAGAAGAUAUUAUUGAUGUACUACGGAAGCUGCUAUGUUAUAA
This is a non-coding RNA of Lepisosteus oculatus (spotted gar), 1330 nucleotides long. The record is from RefSeq and is a predicted model, not a curated record. NCBI's taxonomy places the organism in Eukaryota, Metazoa, Chordata, Actinopteri, Semionotiformes, Lepisosteidae.